Dicentrarchus labrax (European seabass) is the source of this 1672-nucleotide long non-coding RNA. RefSeq lists it as uncharacterized. The record is from RefSeq and is a predicted model, not a curated record. The transcript has 5 exons. Lineage: Eukaryota; Metazoa; Chordata; Actinopteri; Moronidae.
GUCCUACCAGCCGGAGAGCUACCAUCACCCCUACCUUUGCAAGAAGACGUCUCGCCGGGGAUACAGAGUCAAGUCCUGCAUCUACAGCCAAUCUGAUGGUCAAAGAUUCCCUCUAGCACUGCUGAUGUGUUGCUGAUGUGCUUGAUUGGUUGCCAUGCCAACCUUUGCAGAACCACUGUCUUGCAGUGUGGUGUGGCCAACUAUCGCUACCCCUCACUUCCCAGACAAUCCACUUGCUUGUACUUUUCCAUGGCUGACGGUUUCUAUGGCAACAAAAGGGGAGGAAGAUGAGGCUGUGGCUUGACAGAGGACUGUCAAGCAGACAGCGCAGGGGCGGCCGGGAUCCUCACGAGGAAAACGUGUCCUUGUACGACUACGGCAGGAACAAUAGGUCAACACAUACCAAUGGCCGCAGCAGCAAGGACCCAGCCCUGGCACAUGGGGCGCCAGCUCCACCAGAGACAUCAAAUCCAAACGGCUUGCUGUGGUAAGACUGUCCUCCCUGAGACGACAAAACGGUGGAGCAAGACAUUCAAAAGUUAAUUUAGUAAUGCAAUAAAGUCCUAGGAUGAAAAUGAAACAGUCAACAGUUUUGAGUGUUGCUCAAAUUCUCUACCUUUAGUGCUAGUUGAUGUGUAAUGCAUGCAGGGAUACUUGGCUUGCGGUACAAGAACGCACAUAGAGAGAUACUGUAUUUCCUGGCCAGGAGCAGUAACUUCCUGGUGUUUCACUUGUUGCCUGGCAACAGCAUCUAGCCAAUAAAUAAUCCAGCAAAUAUUCCUUCCUGAAAAACCCUUGACUUGACCUUUUUACACUUUGUUUUUUGUACGAAUAAAAAACACAAUAUAAAACACAUUAGUUAAUGAGCUUUCUAGGUUAUGGUAUUUAUAUUCCAAUUGUGUUACCUCGGGACAGCGCCAGGCUAGCUGUUUUAUGCUAAACUGAGCUGCCUGUAGGAUCAUAUCAACUGUACAAACAUAUGAGAUCCUAUAUAAGCAUAUUUCCCAAAAUGUCAAACUAUUGCUUCAACUUGCAUGAGGCCCAUUUAGAUAAGAAAGAUGAUGGUGAACAAUGUACUGACCCCCCCCCCGCAGUAUUCUGGCUGGUCUGAGCAGCAUGCCGGCCACAGAGGGCUGUCAUCUGAUUUUUAAUUGCAGCCGCAGUGGCUAUAAUCAGAUCUUAUUGGAAUGUGCCCAUGCAAAGCCAGCAGCCGUGAUUUAGAGCCCGAGAGUGAUGGCCAGACAUCGAUUCCAUAACCUUUCCUAAAUUAUCCAGGCAACACAGAGGAUUGUGUCUCUCUUUUCUCUCACUCAGUCUCCCUCUUAUCAGUUGUCACUAUAAUGAGCAGCAGGAUUUUUUUGGGGGGGUGGGGGGGUGGACACGCAGCAGUGAGAGUCCAGCGUGCACACACAGUGGGGAUGAACUGCAAUUGAUUAGCUGUGCGGCCAUCUCAGACAGCUCAGUCUCAGCGCGGGCCGCACUUUGAUACUGGAUGACAGCAAAGUAAAUGUCUGCCGAGAUAAUGAGGUGGCCUCGACACGCCUUACGUGUCAGUACUCUACCAAUCAAUGCGUGUGUGUAAACAGCCAAUAAAAUUGGCCCUGUGUCUGCAUGCAUGUGUGUAAGUGGCAUAUUUUGAACUGAGGCCAAAAGAAACAGGACUAUUCACAGU